AGCCAUGCAUGUGUAAGUAUG
RNAcentral lists this non-coding RNA (21 nucleotides) under Arabidopsis thaliana (thale cress). The record is from RNAcentral. Lineage: Eukaryota; Viridiplantae; Streptophyta; Magnoliopsida; Brassicales; Brassicaceae.